AAUGAGAGACAGCCCCUUUACUCCACAGCCUGCCGAAAUUAUUCAAACCAGCCAAUCUUUAAACCUCCCUACAGCUGCUCUGCCUGUUCUUUCCUGUAGAAACCACAGUAAAGUCUCUUGCCUCCAGUUCUCUCCCUUCCUUCUGCCUCGUGGCUGAUCUCAGGGCUUCCCUGUGUGGCCCCUCCUGCAGUGGCUUGUCUCCUCCUCUUGGGAACUGUGAUAUUUCUCUGAAAAGAGCAGUUUGGACUAUCUGUGAAGAGCUGCAAUAUAUUGAACUAUGUACCCAGCAACUUACUUCACUCCCUAGGAUUGUUUGGCAGCCCAGCAGAGAUAAAAUGCAUAUUUCUCACAGCAGAAAUAUGCUUUACUCUUCUGUCAUACCCAAGGAGAAUGCUGCUUGUGUCCUUCCAAGCUUGAAGAAAAGCAUUAUAUUAAGUGAAGCCUGCAUGCAAUGAUUGAACCUGUUUGAAUAAUCUCCCUGAGUUAUUUGACCUUAAUAAAUACAUAUACAGAUUUUGUAAAGGUCCCAUCGCCUAAAUCAUUCGACAGAAUUUAUUUUCUUAAACCACCAUUCUCAUUCUAUUAUUUCCUGACUCAGAACACUUAAAUGAUUCAAUUGUUCAGAGGAAAAAGCUCAAGUUACUUACUGUGGCAUUCAAGGUCUACCACUGGAAAAUUACUUUUCUAAAAAUAUUCCCACUAAUUAUCAGCAUGAAUACUUUGCUCCUACACAAUAGCCCACCCAUAGUCCCUCAGAUAAAUCUUGCUCGUGUUCACUUCUCUAUUUUUAUCUCUAUUACUUACUAUAUUUCUAUCUCUACUUCCAUCUCUACAUCUAUCUCCGUCUCUAAAUCUCUCUCUUGCUCUCUCUGUAUUCCUACACUUGAUACAUGAGUGGAUGCUCAUCUCAGACCCUUGCCGUUUCCUACUUCUUUACCUCGAGUUCCUCUAGGCUUUUUUCCUGGGUAUAUUUUUCUUCUAUUGUUAUUCUGUCUCUUUAAGCAAGUUUUCUCUUUCUGGAUCUUCAAAUAUCACCUAAAUGCUGAUGUAUCACAAAUUUAUAUUUCCAGCCAUAGCUUCACAACCGAGGUCCAGCUGCCUACUUCUUAUCUUCACUUGGAGGUCUCCCAGGUGGCUCAUCAAGGGAAAAUUUGGGCACAAAGACAAGCAUGUCCAGGGAGAAUGCCGUGUGAAGAUGAAGGCACAGAUCUAAAAGCUUAGGAGAGAUGCUUAGAACAGAUCCUUCCCUCACAGCCUUCAAAAGGAAGCAACCCUGUGGAAACAUUGAUUUUGAACUCGUAGCCUCCGUAACUAUUAGACAAUAGGGAUUUCUUUUGUUUCAGCCACCCAGUUUGUGGCACUUUGUUGUGGCAGCCCUAACAAACUAAUAAAACUUGUCUUUUUGAUUACCAGCAUUCUAGCAAGUUUGUAAAGGUAGCUGGUUGUGGUUUCGCUUUGAGUUCUCCUAACAUCUAACGGCAUUGAGAAUCUUUUCACGUGCUUAUUAGGCACUCUUAUAAUUUCUUUAGUGAAAUGUAUUCUAAAACAUUUUGCAUCUUAAAAUUGGGUUGUUUGUCCUAUUAUUGAGCUGGAUUAUUUCUUUUGUAUUCAUGAUACAAUCCUUUAUCAGAUAUGUGAUUUGUAAUUAUUUUCUUCUGGUUUGUG
This 1665-nucleotide long non-coding RNA is filed under the name Equus caballus (horse). RNAcentral describes it as "lncRNA (ENSECAG00000058779.1)". Lineage: Eukaryota; Metazoa; Chordata; Mammalia; Perissodactyla; Equidae. The record is from RNAcentral.